RNAcentral lists this long non-coding RNA (1492 nucleotides) under Scleropages formosus (Asian bonytongue). Its description in RNAcentral is "lncRNA (ENSSFOG00015028001.1)". Lineage: Eukaryota; Metazoa; Chordata; Actinopteri; Osteoglossiformes; Osteoglossidae. The record is from RNAcentral.
GGGGUGUCGGGUUCAUCAUAAGCAAAGAAUGGACUACGAAGAUCGCCUCAUGCCAUUUUGUGUCAUCGCGUAUCGGAGUGCUCAACGUGAACCUCUCGGGAAAGGCCACCCUUAAGAUCAUCCAGACCUACGCUCCCACCAGUGCCAGCGACGACGAUGAAGUGGAAGAGUUCUAUCGCCAGCUAGACAUGGUGCUAGCUCGGAAAUCCACUUACACCGUCGUGAUGGGAGACUUCAAUGCAAAGGUCGGAAAAGGGAGGCAAGGUGAAAGGUAUGUUGGAAAGUUUGGAACUGGAGAAAGAAAUGAAAGAGGGGAACGUUUGGUCACUAUGGUAGAGGCGAGAAAAAUCUACAUCGGGAACAGCCUGUUCAAGAAGAACAGCGAGAAAAGAUGGACCUGGAUAGCCCCUAACGCUGCACAUCGCAAUGAGAUCGACUACAUCCUGGUCGACAAGCGGCGCAUUCUGCAAGACAUCUCUGUCGUAACGCCAUUCAACACCGGCAGCGAUCACCGCCUGCUCAGGGCCAAGAUCGUCAUCGACAGGACAAAGGAGAAGAAGACACUGCAGCUGACGUCGAGGGAAGAACGUGUGAAGGUCUACGAUGGAAAGCGACUGCAGGAAGCGAUGGAGAGGAAAUCCUGGUGCCGAAUUGACGGAAUUGACGAUGAUUAUGACUCACUGAUCGAGAAACUGAAGGAAUGCUUGAGGGAGGCAAAGGAGGCGGGCCCAAGGGAGCAGAAGGGAAGAAUCUCGGAAGAAACCAAAAAACUUCUCGAGAAGAGAAAGAACAUGAAGAGGACUGCGGAAGAUCGCCUUGAAUAUUCCAUUCUCAGCAGGGUGAUACGACUGCAGCUGAAGAGAGACUUCGAAAAAUACCGGAUGGAAAAGCUCCUGAAGGCCGCCGAGGAAAGGAAGAGCCUCAAGAAAUGUGAAAGGGGGAUGGCACUCUAUAAAUCGGAAGUGACGAAGCUGAAGAACUCGGAUGGUGCUACAGCCGAUGAAAGAGGCGAGGUGGUAAAGAUCUGUAAAGACUUUUACACUAAGCUUUUUAAAUCUGCUGUGAAGAUUGAACCACCACCGUCACUUCAAAGGAAGGAGAAUGUGCCCCCCAUUCUCGUAAGUGAGGUUGAAAGGGCCGUCAAUUUGAUGAAGAGGGAAAAAGCACCGGGGAAAGAUGGCAUAACAUCUGAAAUGCUGAAGUUGGGCGGAGAACAGCUCUGGAAAAUCCUCGCCGAACGGUUCAGUCACUAUCUGAACACGUGCAAGAUACCAUCGCAGUGGAAAGAGUCGAGAACCAUCCUGCUGUAUAAGAAGGGAGAUAGAGAAGAUCUGAAGAACUAUCGUCCCAUAUGCCUCUUGUCCCACAUCUACAAGCUGUUCACGAAGAUAAUCCUAACACGAUUAUCAGAACACUUGGAUGGACAACAACCAAGGGAACAAGCAGGCUUCCGAAGAACCUACAGCACGAUGGAUCACAUCUUCACUCUGAC